CAAAUUCAAAUUCAAAAUAAAUAAAUAAAAAUACACCAACACACACAUCCCCUUUGUUAUUAUUAUUUUCUUUUCUUUUCUUUUCUUUUUCUUUUACAUUCACAUACUACAAAUUUAAAAUAAAUAAACAAAAAUUACAUUAAAACUUUAAAAUUUACAAAAUGGUCCCUAAACAAUCCAUAACAGUACUGGGAAACCCUUCAGGAACAG
RNAcentral lists this long non-coding RNA (210 nucleotides) under Populus tremula. Its description in RNAcentral is "long non-coding RNA (PTRE_LNC000665)". The record is from RNAcentral. Lineage: Eukaryota; Viridiplantae; Streptophyta; Magnoliopsida; Malpighiales; Salicaceae.